CUCACAUGCAUCUAGGGAGAGGACAAGAGGACAUAGAUGUAAGAUAUGCCAGGGGAAGUUUAGUUUGGACAUCAUAAAGAAUUCCUUCACAGAAGAGAAACAAGGAAUUGUGACUGUAAGGCUGCUUGAUGCCUCUUAAAAUGAAGUCUGAUGGAGAGACAAGUAUUGUGGUGUUAUCACGAGUCCCUUUUGGACUCAGGUGAACUAUACUGUGAAAAAUUUACAGGUUUGAGAGACUCAAGGGUCCUGGCUCUCAAAAGAACUACUACCUGUGUUAGUAUACUACUUGUUAAUGGUGUUCCAAAUAUUACUUAGAAAAUCUUUCAGGCUGAGAUGGAGCUUGGGGACCAUAAUAUGGCAACUCUGGAGACAAUGUUGUGCAACAUCAAGGCCAUCUGUAGAAUCUGCACUCAAAAAUGUCAACUCUGUGAAACUCUUCUUUUAAAUAAAAUUAUUUCACAACAUGAUUGUAGAACAUUUGUUGCUGCUAAAUGCAGGCCUUGAUGUCUAGUGGAUGGGUCUGGACACAGAUGGACUGUGGAGUCUGCUGUCUGCUUUCAGAGACCCAUGGAAUACAGGUGGGCUUUGGUUUGGUGAGCCUAUGGCUCUAUUUCUGUCAUGUCUCAAGACUUGCAGGUGUGCUGUUCCUUGUUAGCACAGAAUCACCCAAAAAAGAAGGAUUCAUCUCAAAAAAAAUAAAUGCACAGGCAGUGGGUGGCCAUUGUGCUUCUUUCUGACCUUGGAGCUGAGGAGGUUUUAUCUUCAUGCAAGUAGGAGCACAGCCUGGUUACAUCAUGGAUGGACAACAGUGGGCAAGGCUUGUGUAAAGGUCUCUAACAGCCCUCCUACACCUGCUCUUGAUUCCAAAAAAUAGGAGAAGGACAACAAUUUUUUUUUUUUUUCCUGUUCAAGGCUACAAUAUCUUCUACAGUGAUGUUAUAGUACAGGAGAACUUUUCAAAUUAUUCUUUUUUUUCAGUAUUGUUACUACUUCUAUGAAAAUACUGAAAUAGGCUACACAAGAGAAUCCCUACAACCAGCUUGUUUUUGACAACAGAAAGCUCCACAGAUCAUUGAAAUACAGCUUAAGGAACAGUUUCACUGUACUGGAAAAGCUUACUUCUAAUUCUUUUGGUGUAAAUAUUGAAACUCCAGCUUAUUUCUGUUGUUACAAAAAUCUGGCCAAAACUAGUAACUUGAUAAAAGAAAAUAUAAAUCAAUGGAAGGACUAAUAACUAUAGUAGAUGUACCAUUUUUA
Molecule: long non-coding RNA, 1257 nt
Organism: Zonotrichia leucophrys gambelii
Lineage: Eukaryota; Metazoa; Chordata; Aves; Passeriformes; Passerellidae
Exons: 4
Source: RefSeq, a predicted model, not a curated record